Molecule: unclassified non-coding RNA, 438 nt
Filed under: Homo sapiens (human)
Lineage: Eukaryota; Metazoa; Chordata; Mammalia; Primates; Hominidae
Description: novel transcript (ENSG00000280579.1)
Source: RNAcentral
AGUGUAUGAAUGCUUUGUGUUCUGACAAAGAGAAUGUAGCACCCAGGUCCUACCUGCUUGGAUGCAUUGCCAGUGCCCACGUCAUUGCUUAUUUAAAAUCUACAACUGCUGACGUUUUGUAACGUUCGCAUUCCAGAUACAACAGAGAAAUGCAUAAUGUCCAGUCAAUUUAUUAAAGUUCCAAAGUCGGUCGCGCGCAGUGGCUCACGCCUGUAAUCUCAACACUUCGGGAGGCCGAGGCGUGUGGAUCACGAGGUCAGGAGUUGGAGACUAGCCUGAUCAACAUGGUGAAACCCCGUCUCUACUAAAAAUACAAAAAUUAGCCAGGCAGGGUGGCACGCGGCUGUAAUCCCCGCUACUCAGGAGGCUGAGGCAGGAGAAUUGCUUGAACCUGGGAGGCAGAGGUUGCAGUGAGCAGAGAUGACGCCACCAUACUCC